UGACGCUUUUGUCCGGGAAUUAUUGGGCGUAAAGGGCUCGCAGGCGGUUUCUUAAGUCUGAUGUGAAAGCCCCCGGCUCAACCGGGGAGGGUCAUUGGAAACUGGGAAACUUGAGUGCAGAAGAUGAGAGUGGAAUUCCACGUGUAGCGGUGAAAUGCGUAGAGAUGUGGAGGAACACCAUGGCGAAGGCGACUCUCUGGUCUGUAACUGACGCUGAGGAGCGAAAGCGUGGGGAGCGAACAGGAUUAGAUACCCUGGUAGUCCACGCCGUAAACGAUGAGUGCUAAGUGUUAGGGGGUUUCCGCCCCUUAGUGCUGCAGCUAACGCAUUAAGCACUCCGCCUGGGGAGUACGGUCGCAAGACUGAAACUCAAAGGAAUUGACGGGGGCCCGCACAAGCGGUGGAGCAUGUGGUUUAAUUCGAAGCAACGCGAAGAACCUUACCAGGUCUUGACAUCCUCUGACAACCCUAGAGAUAGGGCUUUCCCUUCGGGGACAGAGUGACAGGUGGUGCAUGGUUGUCGUCAGCUCGUGUCGUGAGAUGUUGGGUUAAGUCCCGCAACGAGCGCAACCCUUGAUCUUAGUUGCCAGCAUUCAGUUGGGCACUCUAAGGUGACUGCCCGGUGACAAACCGGAGGAAGGUGGGGAUGACGUCAAAUCAUCAUGCCCCUUAUGACCUGGGCUACACACGUGCUACAAUGGACAGAACAAAGGGCUGCGAGACCGCAAGGUUUAGCCAAUCCCACAAAUCUGUUCUCAGUUCGGAUCGCAGUCUGCAACUCGACUGCGUGAAGCUGGGAAUCGCCUUGUAAUUCCGCAGGAUCCAGCAUGCCCG
This 834-nucleotide ribosomal RNA is filed under the name Bacillus pumilus. Its description in RNAcentral is "bacterial SSU rRNA". It matches the Rfam family "Bacterial small subunit ribosomal RNA", at positions 532 to 1360 of the family's 1533-position model. Lineage: Bacteria; Bacillati; Bacillota; Bacilli; Caryophanales; Bacillaceae. The record is from RNAcentral.